CCCAGGGGCUGGUUACUUGCUUCUGUCUCCAGCAGCCACACAAGCACCAUGAAGAGGCUGCUGAGCUCUCUGCUGGGGCUUCUGUGCACCCAGCCUUGCUGGGUGAAAGGGCAGCAAGUGCAGCAGAGUCCCGUGUCCUUGGUUCUGCAGGAGGGGGAGAAUGCAGAGCUGCAGUGCAACUUUUCCACAGCUUUGAACAGUAUGCAGUGGUUUUACCAACGUCCUGGAGGAAGCCUCGUCAGCCUGUUCUACAAUCCUUCUGGGACAAAGCAGAGUGGGAGACUGACAUCCACAACAGUCAUUGAAGAACGUCGCAGCUCUUUGCACAUUUCCUCCUCCCAGACCACUGACUCAGGCACUUAUCUCUGUGCUAUGGACCCACAGUGCUCCCCACACACCUGCAGCCCACACACAAACCUUCAGCUGG
Mus pahari (shrew mouse) is the source of this 427-nucleotide non-coding RNA. NCBI's taxonomy places the organism in Eukaryota, Metazoa, Chordata, Mammalia, Rodentia, Muridae. The record is from the annotation of a RefSeq genome assembly.